RNAcentral lists this ribosomal RNA (253 nucleotides) under uncultured bacterium. RNAcentral's name for it is "partial 16S ribosomal RNA". It matches the Rfam family "Bacterial small subunit ribosomal RNA", at positions 524 to 776 of the family's 1533-position model. The record is from RNAcentral.
UACGUAGGGGACAAGCGUUAUCCGGAUUUACUGGGCGUAAAGCGCCCGUAGGCGGCUUAACAAGUUGGAUGUGAAAGCUCCCGGCUUAACUGGGAGAGGUCAUUCAAAACUGUUAGGCUAGAGGAUGGAAGAGGAGAGUGGAAUUCCUGGUGUAGCGGUGAAAUGCGCAGAUAUCAGGAAGAACACCCGUGGCGAAGGCGGCUCUCUGGGACGGUACUGACGCUGAGACGCGAAAGCGUGGGGAGCAAACAGG